UACGCGAAGAACCUUACCAAGGCUUGACAUAUACCGGAAACAUGCAGAGAUGUGUGCCCCGCAAGGUCGGUAUACAGGUGGUGCAUGGUUGUCGUCAGCUCGUGUCGUGAGAUGUUGGGUUAAGUCCCGCAACGAGCGCAACCCUCGUUCUAUGUUGCCAGCACGUAAUGGUGGGAACUCAUAGGAGACUGCCGGGGUCAACUCGGAGGAAGGUGGGGAUGACGUCAAAUCAUCAUGCCCCUUAUGUCUUGGGCUUCACGCAUGCUACAAUGGCCGGUACAAAGGGCUGCGAUACCGUAAGGUGGAGCGAAUCCCAAAAAGCCGGUCUCAGUUCGGAUUGAGGUCUGCAACUCGACCUCAUGAAGUCGGAGUCGCUAGUAAUCGCAGAUCAGCAACGCUGCGGUGAAUACGUUCCCGGGCCUUGUACACACC
Molecule: ribosomal RNA, 432 nt
Filed under: uncultured Clavibacter sp.
Lineage: Bacteria; Bacillati; Actinomycetota; Actinomycetes; Micrococcales; Microbacteriaceae
Description: bacterial SSU rRNA
Rfam family: Bacterial small subunit ribosomal RNA
Source: RNAcentral